This 2905-nucleotide ribosomal RNA is filed under the name Yersinia mollaretii. RNAcentral's name for it is "bacterial LSU rRNA". It matches the Rfam family "Bacterial large subunit ribosomal RNA". Lineage: Bacteria; Pseudomonadati; Pseudomonadota; Gammaproteobacteria; Enterobacterales; Yersiniaceae. The record is from RNAcentral.
UUAAGCGACUAAGCGUACACGGUGGAUGCCUAGGCAGUCAGAGGCGAUGAAGGGCGUGCUAAUCUGCGAUAAGCGUCGGUAAGCUGAUAUGAAGCGUUACAACCGACGAUACCCGAAUGGGGAAACCCAGUGCAAUUCGUUGCACUAUUGCAUGGUGAAUACAUAGCCAUGCAAGGCGAACCGGGGGAACUGAAACAUCUAAGUACCCCGAGGAAAAGAAAUCAACCGAGAUUCCCCCAGUAGCGGCGAGCGAACGGGGAAGAGCCCAGAGUCUGAAUCAGUUUGUGUGUUAGUGGAAGCGUCUGGAAAGUCGCACGGUACAGGGUGAUAGUCCCGUACACAAAAACACACCUUCUGUGAACUCGAUGAGUAGGGCGGGACACGUGACAUCCUGUCUGAAUAUGGGGGGACCAUCCUCCAAGGCUAAAUACUCCUGACUGACCGAUAGUGAACCAGUACCGUGAGGGAAAGGCGAAAAGAACCCCGGCGAGGGGAGUGAAAUAGAACCUGAAACCGUGUACGUACAAGCAGUGGGAGCACCUUCGUGGUGUGACUGCGUACCUUUUGUAUAAUGGGUCAGCGACUUAUAUUUUGUAGCAAGGUUAACCGAAUAGGGGAGCCGUAGGGAAACCGAGUCUUAACUGGGCGUCUAGUUGCAAGGUAUAGACCCGAAACCCGGUGAUCUAGCCAUGGGCAGGUUGAAGGUUGGGUAACACUAACUGGAGGACCGAACCGACUAAUGUUGAAAAAUUAGCGGAUGACUUGUGGCUGGGGGUGAAAGGCCAAUCAAACCGGGAGAUAGCUGGUUCUCCCCGAAAGCUAUUUAGGUAGCGCCUCGUGAACUCAUCUUCGGGGGUAGAGCACUGUUUCGGCUAGGGGGUCAUCCCGACUUACCAAACCGAUGCAAACUCCGAAUACCGAAGAAUGUUAUCACGGGAGACACACGGCGGGUGCUAACGUCCGUCGUGAAGAGGGAAACAACCCAGACCGCCAGCUAAGGUCCCAAAGUCAUGGUUAAGUGGGAAACGAUGUGGGAAGGCAUAGACAGCCAGGAUGUUGGCUUAGAAGCAGCCAUCAUUUAAAGAAAGCGUAAUAGCUCACUGGUCGAGUCGGCCUGCGCGGAAGAUGUAACGGGGCUAAACCAUGCACCGAAGCUGCGGCAGCGACGCUUAGGCGUUGUUGGGUAGGGGAGCGUUCUGUAAGCCGUUGAAGGUGGCCUGUGAGGGCUGCUGGAGGUAUCAGAAGUGCGAAUGCUGACAUAAGUAACGAUAAUGCGGGUGAAAAACCCGCACGCCGGAAGACCAAGGGUUCCUGUCCAACGUUAAUCGGGGCAGGGUGAGUCGACCCCUAAGGCGAGGCUGAAAAGCGUAGUCGAUGGGAAACAGGUUAAUAUUCCUGUACUGGGUGUUACUGCGAAGGGGGGACGGAGAAGGCUAGGCUAGCCGGGCGACGGUUGUCCCGGUUUAAGCAUGUAGGCGGAGUGACUUGGUAAAUCCGGUUGCUUAUCAACGCUGAGGUGUGAUGACGAUGCACUACGGUGCAGAAGUAGUUGAUGCCAAGCUUCCAGGAAAAGCCUCUAAGCAUCAGGUAACAUUGAAUCGUACCCCAAACCGACACAGGUGGUCAGGUAGAGAAUACUCAGGCGCUUGAGAGAACUCGGGUGAAGGAACUAGGCAAAAUGGUGCCGUAACUUCGGGAGAAGGCACGCUGGCAUUAGGUAAAGAGACUUGCUCUCGGCGCCGAAGCCAGUCGCAGAUACCAGCUGGCUGCAACUGUUUAAUAAAAACACAGCACUGUGCAAACACGAAAGUGGACGUAUACGGUGUGACGCCUGCCCGGUGCUGGAAGGUUAAUUGAUGGGGUCAGCCGCAAGGCGAAGCUCUUGAUCGAAGCCCCAGUAAACGGCGGCCGUAACUAUAACGGUCCUAAGGUAGCGAAAUUCCUUGUCGGGUAAGUUCCGACCUGCACGAAUGGCGUAAUGAUGGCCAGGCUGUCUCCACCCGAGACUCAGUGAAAUUGAACUCGCUGUGAAGAUGCAGUGUACCCGCGGCAAGACGGAAAGACCCCGUGAACCUUUACUAUAGCUUGACACUGAACAUUGAGCCUUGAUGUGUAGGAUAGGUGGGAGGCAUUGAAGUGUGGACGCCAGUCUGCAUGGAGCCAACCUUGAAAUACCACCCUUUAAUGUUUGAUGUUCUAACUCGGCCCCGUGAUCCGGGGUGAGGACAGUGUCUGGUGGGUAGUUUGACUGGGGCGGUCUCCUCCCAAAGAGUAACGGAGGAGCACGAAGGUUAGCUAAUCACGGUCGGACAUCGUGAGGUUAGUGCAAAGGCAUAAGCUAGCUUGACUGCGAGAGUGACGGCUCGAGCAGGUACGAAAGUAGGUCUUAGUGAUCCGGUGGUUCUGAAUGGAAGGGCCAUCGCUCAACGGAUAAAAGGUACUCCGGGGAUAACAGGCUGAUACCGCCCAAGAGUUCAUAUCGACGGCGGUGUUUGGCACCUCGAUGUCGGCUCAUCACAUCCUGGGGCUGAAGUAGGUCCCAAGGGUAUGGCUGUUCGCCAUUUAAAGUGGUACGCGAGCUGGGUUUAGAACGUCGUGAGACAGUUCGGUCCCUAUCUGCCGUGGGCGUUGGAAGAUUGAGAGGGGCUGCUCCUAGUACGAGAGGACCGGAGUGGACGAAUCACUGGUGUUCGGGUUGUCAUGCCAAUGGCAUUGCCCGGUAGCUAAAUUCGGAAGAGAUAACCGCUGAAAGCAUCUAAGCGGGAAACUUGCCUCGAGAUGAGUCUUCCCUGGGGCUUUAAGCCCCCUGAAGGAACGUUAAAGACUAUGACGUUGAUAGGCUGGGUGUGUAAGUGCAGCGAUGCAUUGAGCUAACCAGUACUAAUGAUCCGUGAGGCUUAACCUU